RNAcentral lists this ribosomal RNA (227 nucleotides) under uncultured bacterium. Its description in RNAcentral is "partial 16S ribosomal RNA". It matches the Rfam family "Bacterial small subunit ribosomal RNA", at positions 28 to 259 of the family's 1533-position model. The record is from RNAcentral.
GACGAACGCUGGCGGCGUGCUUAACACAUGCAAGUCGAGCGGUAAGGCCCUUCGGGUACACGAGCGGCGAACGGGUGAGUAACACGUGGGUGACCUGCCUCUAGCUCUGGGAUAAGCCUGGGAAACUGGGUCUAAUACCGGAUAUGACUCCACGGCGCAUGUUGUGGGGUGGAAGGCCUUGUGUGGCUAGAGAUGGGCCCGCGGCCCAUCAGCUUGUUGGUGGGGGA